Molecule: long non-coding RNA, 1239 nt
Filed under: Anas platyrhynchos platyrhynchos (common mallard)
Lineage: Eukaryota; Metazoa; Chordata; Aves; Anseriformes; Anatidae
Description: lncRNA (ENSAPLG00000017106.1)
Source: RNAcentral
CAUCGUCUUCUCCGACGCCCCCCCCCCGGCCCCCGGCACCCCUGGGCCCCCCCUGCCCGCCCCCGCCGACGUCUUCUGGGCCAGCCUGGUGCAGGCCCAGCUCUGCGUCUGGGACCUGCAGGGGGCCAUCGAUGGGGACACCGGUGGCACCCACGGUGGUGGCACCCAUGGUGGUGGCACCCAUGGUGGUGGUGGCACCGGUGGUGGUGGUGGUGGCACCCACGGGUCCGACCCCGGCCACCAGGGGGGCUCUCAGCAGCGCGCCCCCACCCAUGGGACCUCCUCCUCUGAGCCCGUCCCCGCAUAUGGGGGCGCCCCGGGGGGCCGCGUGGGCACCCAUGGGUGCUCCGAGCCCCCGAGCACCCUGAUGGAGCAGCCAAGCUGGGAGAGCUUCGCACCCAUGGGUGUGGGUGGGGGCACCUCACACGAGCAUGUGGGCACCCGUGGGACCACCACGGCCACCCACGGGACCACCUCCUCUGAGUCCAUCUUCACCUAUGGGAGCACUUCUCAGGAGCACGUGGCCACCCAUGGGACCACCUUGGCCACCUAUGGGACCACCUUGACCACCCACGGGACCACCUUGGCCACCUAUGGGACCGCCUCCUCCGAAUCCAUCUUCACCUAUGGGAGCACUUCUCAGGAGCACCUGGCCACCCAUGGGACCACCACCCCCGAGCCCACCCCCACGUCCAGGAGCACCCCCCACGAGCCCACCCACGGGACCGUCUCGCCCCACUCCGUGCCCAUGGGUGGGGGCAUCUCCUGUGAGCACCCACCGCCCGCUGGGACCGCGUCCCCCAUGGGUGGCUGCUUCUCCUACAAGGACGUGGCGCUGGGUGCAGGAUUCUGGCAGGAGCCCCGUGGGUGCGGGGCCGUGGGCAGGAGCAUCUUGCACGAGCACGUGCCCACCUUCGGGACCACCGCGCCCAAAUCCGUGCCCACCCACGGGACCACAUCCUGGGCGCGUGUCCCAGCAGAUGGAAGCGCCUGGGCAGAGCCCGCGCCCCCGGACGGGACCACGUGGAGCAAGGGCUCGCCCGUGGGGGACCCCAACGCGUGGGAGCAUGGCCCAGGUGGGGACACCUCGACCAUGGCGUGGGAGCCUCCUCCAGCGGGUGGCACCGCGGGGACCAAGGCUGUGCCCAAGGACGACGCCAGCUCAUGGGGACACAUCCCAACAGAUGGCACCACCUUGACCAAGUCCAUGCCCAUGGAUGGGAGCAUCUCAACCAAAUC